CGGGACGGGUGAGUAAUGUCUGGGAAACUGCCUGAUGGAGGGGGAUAACUACUGGAAGCGGUAGCUAAUACCGCAUAACGUCGCAAGACCAAAGAGGGGGACCUUCGGGCCUCUUGCCAUCGGAUGUGCCCAGAUGGGAUUAGCUAGUAGGUGGGGUAAAGGCUCACCUAGGCGACGAUCCCUAGCUGGUCUGAGAGGAUGACCAGCCACACUGGAACUGAGACACGGUCCAG
RNAcentral lists this ribosomal RNA (233 nucleotides) under uncultured bacterium. RNAcentral describes it as "partial 16S ribosomal RNA". It matches the Rfam family "Bacterial small subunit ribosomal RNA", at positions 100 to 334 of the family's 1533-position model. The record is from RNAcentral.